This 454-nucleotide ribosomal RNA is filed under the name uncultured bacterium. Its description in RNAcentral is "SSU rRNA". It matches the Rfam family "Bacterial small subunit ribosomal RNA", at positions 26 to 470 of the family's 1533-position model. The record is from RNAcentral.
AGAACGAACGCUGGCGGCGUGGAUAAGACAUGCAAGUCGAACGCGAUUUAUCUGGUUAGCAAUAACUAGGUAAAUUGAGUGGCGAAAGGGUGCGUAACACGUGGGAAUUUACCAAGAAGUGGGGAAUAGCUCGACGAAAGUCGAAUUAAUACCGCAUAUGAUCGCAAGAUCAAAGCCGGGGACCGCAAGGCCUGGCGCUUUUUGAGAAGCCCGCGGCCCAUCAGCUAGUUGGCGGGGUAACGGCCCACCAAGGCUAUGACGGGUAGCUGGUCUGAGAGGACGACCAGCCACACUGGAACUGAGACACGGUCCAGACACCUACGGGUGGCAGCAGUCGAGAAUUUUUUCACAAUGGACGAAAGUCUGAUGGAGCGACGCGCGUGAGGAUGAGGUUUCGGAUUGUAACUCCUGUCACUGCAGAACAAGGAUACGUCAGUUAACAGCCGACGUAUUU